UCCAGUAACCGUUUAUCUCGCAAUGUCCUGGCUGUAACCUAUGAACGGGAAUUGUUGUUGAUUAUCUGGUUUGAUGGAGACCGCGCGAUAACAGCGAUUCGAAGGGGCGUCCACAGAGCUGUGCAAGUCUUUCGCAGCCCGUCACCAGCCCAGACAUGGAUACUAGGAAUCAUCUCCUGUCACUGCUGCUCUUGGCUACCGUCGUAGCAGCCGACUCUGACGACAACCCAUCUACAGCGGCGUCCGUAGGUAGUGCUCUUGCAAGUAUCUUCGUAUUCUGCUGCAUUUGCUACUGCAUCUGGCGAUUCUGUUGCCGAAGAACAGAAGUUAUUCACAAUGUUACUAACAUACAACAAGUGGCAGCACCUGCACCUGCACCUGCACCUGCACCUGCACCGGCAGCGGCUCCAACUGUUGUUGUAGCCCCGACGAUUGUAACUCCACAGGGACAACCUAAUAUAAUUAACAACGUGAACACGGCACCCCAAAUGAUGAUGCCGCAAGCACAACCUCAAAUGAUGAUGCCGCAAGCACAACCUCAGAUGAUGAUGCCUCAGUCACAACCUCAAAUGAUGAUGGCACAACCUCAAUAUCAACCUCAAAUGAUGAUGCCUCAGGGGCCAUCGGGGAUGACGGGACAGCCUAGUGCCCCUCCGUACCGCUACUGAUUGCAGCCGCACAGCCGUUUAGAAACUGCUAGUCUAUUAAAGUGGGCCCGACGAAUUUCA
Ornithodoros turicata is the source of this 728-nucleotide RNA transcript. It is a transcript of the gene named protein shisa-5-like, with no coding region annotated. The record is from RefSeq and is a predicted model, not a curated record. The transcript has 3 exons. Lineage: Eukaryota; Metazoa; Arthropoda; Arachnida; Ixodida; Argasidae.